UCGAUCUCAAAUCAGGUAGGACUACCCGCUGAACUUAAGCAUAUCAAUAAGCGGAGGAAAAGAAACUAACAAGGAUUCCCCUAGUAACUGCGAGUGAAGCGGGAAAAGCUCAAAUUUAAAAUCUGGCGUGCCUCUGGCCGUCCGAGUUGUAGUCUGGAGAAGCGUCUUCCGUGUUGGACCGUGUAUAAGUCUCUUGGAACAGGGCGUCAUAGAGGGUGAGAAUCCCGUCUUUGACACGGACUACCAAUGCUUUGUGAUGCGCUCUCAAAGAGUCGAGUUGUUUGGGAAUGCAGCUCAAAAUGGGUGGUAAAUUCCAUCUAAAGCUAAAUAUNGGCGAGAGACCGAUAGCGAACCAGUACCGUGAGGGAAAGAUGAAAA
RNAcentral lists this ribosomal RNA (378 nucleotides) under uncultured fungus. RNAcentral's name for it is "eukaryotic LSU rRNA". It matches the Rfam family "Eukaryotic large subunit ribosomal RNA", at positions 1 to 370 of the family's 3401-position model. The record is from RNAcentral. Lineage: Eukaryota; Fungi.